GACGAACCGUGCGAACGUUAUUCGGAAUCACUGGGCUUAAAGCGCGUGUAGGCGGGUCGGCACGUCCGACGCUGAAAUCCCCCGGCUCAACCGGGGAAGGGGCGCGGAUACGACCGUCCUGGAGGGGGGUAGGGGGCGCUGGAACUUCCGGUGGAGCGGUGAAAUGCGUUGAGAUCGGAAGGAACGCCCGUGGCGAAAGCGAGCGCCUGGACCCCGCCUGACGCUGAGACGCGAAAGCUAGGGGAGCGAACGGG
This 254-nucleotide ribosomal RNA is filed under the name uncultured bacterium. RNAcentral describes it as "partial 16S ribosomal RNA". It matches the Rfam family "Bacterial small subunit ribosomal RNA", at positions 524 to 776 of the family's 1533-position model. The record is from RNAcentral.